Molecule: ribosomal RNA, 1524 nt
Filed under: Triticum aestivum (bread wheat)
Lineage: Eukaryota; Viridiplantae; Streptophyta; Magnoliopsida; Poales; Poaceae
Description: partial small subunit ribosomal RNA
Source: RNAcentral
AUGUCAAUUAUGCUCAUCUCCACAUUCCUCGUUCUACUUGUUCCAGUUUGCUUGUAUCUCAGGGCUAGUUGUAGAUCAAAGAACCCAGCCGUGCUUCCCACAAACUGGCCAAUACUGCACAUGUUCCCUUCCUUCAUGGCCAACCUCCACAACCUCUAUGACUAUUUCACCCUGGUCCUCGCAAGAUCAGGCCACAACUUCAGGGCGCAUGGACCACCUGGCACUGGGAUGCGCUUCUUCAUCACAUGUGACCCUGCGAACGCCCGACACAUCUUCACGACAAACCAUGCCAACUUCCCCAAGGGCACGGAAUUCGCCGAUAUCUUUGAAAUCAUGGGUGGCAGCCUCUUCACCAUCGACGGUGAGCCGUGCCGCCGACAACGUGCGAAAGCCAAGAGCAUGCUCAGCAGCCCGCGGAUCGUUGCCAGUAUGGCAGCCUACCUCUGUGGCAAGGUGGAGAACAACCUCCUCCCAUUGUUCACCCGCAUGGCGAUCACCGGCACUUCAUUCGACAUGCAAGAAUUGAUGUCGAGGCUUAUGUUUGACCUGGCUGCUACGCCUCUCUUCAGUGUGGAUCCAGGGCUCCUAUCCUUGGACAUGCCACCCAUGGACGCAGCGGUUGCCCUUGACACGGUGAUGGAGGUGGGAUUUUUUAGGCUCAUGAUGCCAGCAUCUUGUUGGAAGUCGAUGAGGUGGCUAAAUAUCGGCCCUGAGAGAAAGCUUGACACGGCACGCAUGGUGCUACGAGAGCUCGUCCGGGAGAUGAUGGAGAAGAGGAAGAUCACCUCAUGUCGUUCUGGACAUGGCAAGGAACAAGAGAGUGUGGAUAUUAUUUCUUCCUUCCUCGAAGACCCAGACUACGCUAAUGUUGACUUGCUCCAUGCGGUGAUCAUUAGCUACAUGCUCGCUGCGAGGGACACAAUUGCCACAACCCUAACAUGGAUCUUCUACAACCUUGCCCAAAACCCUAACAUCGUGUCAAUCAUCCGCAACGAACUUUCACCCAUUGCAUCACGCAAAGUAGCGGUAGGCAUGUGUACCCCGGUGAUCUUUGAGCCAGACGAGACCAAAUCUCUAGUAUAUUUGACAGCCACCUUGUACGAGACUCUCAGGCUGUACCCACCAGCGCCUGUCUUGCGCAAGACGGUGGCCGUAGAUGACAUCAUGCCGAGUGGCCAUGAGGUGCAUGCCGGUGACACCAUUUUUAUUUCUGUCCACUCCAUGGGGAGAAUGGAGGUUGUGUGGGGUAAAGACUGCCUCGACUAUAACCCACAUAGGUGGCUCUCGGAUGAGGGCAACAACCUGCGAUACAUACCAUCUCACAAGUUCUUGGCAUUCAACUCAGGCCCGAGAAUGUGCCUCGGCAAGGACAUUGCAAUUAUGCAAAUGAAGACUGUCAUUGCUACAACGGUGUGGAACUUCGAUGUGAAUUUGGUGGAAGGGCAGAGCAUCCAGCCCAAGCCGUCCAUUAUACUGGAAAUGGAAAACGGGCUCAUUGUUAAGUUGAAGAAGAGAGACAUAUAA